UACGUAGGGUCCAAGCGUUAUCCGGAAUCACUGGGCUUAAAGCGUGUGUAGGCGGACUUCUAAGUACCUUGUGAAAUCCCACGGCUCACCCGUGGAACUGCUUGGUAUACUGGUUGUCUUGAGCCUUCUAGGGGCGAGUGGAACAAAUGGUGGAGCGGUGAAAUGCGUAGAUAUCAUUUGGAACGCCAAUGGUGAAAACAACUCGCUGGGGAAGUGCUGACGCUGAGACACGAAAGCCAGGGGAGCGAACGGG
Molecule: ribosomal RNA, 253 nt
Filed under: uncultured bacterium
Lineage: Bacteria
Description: partial 16S ribosomal RNA
Rfam family: Bacterial small subunit ribosomal RNA
Source: RNAcentral